RNAcentral lists this ribosomal RNA (232 nucleotides) under uncultured bacterium. RNAcentral's name for it is "partial 16S ribosomal RNA". It matches the Rfam family "Bacterial small subunit ribosomal RNA", at positions 793 to 1055 of the family's 1533-position model. The record is from RNAcentral.
GUCUAUACUGUAAAUAAUGGGUAUUAAUGAUUAAUUUUUAGUCAAACAGCAAACGCUUUAAAUACCCCGCCUAGCGAGUACGAUCGCAAGAUUAAAAGUUUAAGGAACAGACGGAGAUCAUUAUCUGGUGGUGGAGCAUGUAAUUUAAACUGACAUUACGCGUAGAAUCUUACCACCCCUAAUAUUUAUAUUAAACUUAUCGACAAAUAUAACGGAGUUGCAUGGCUGUCGU